Molecule: ribosomal RNA, 2159 nt
Filed under: Salmonella enterica subsp. enterica serovar Enteritidis
Lineage: Bacteria; Pseudomonadati; Pseudomonadota; Gammaproteobacteria; Enterobacterales; Enterobacteriaceae
Description: partial 23S ribosomal RNA
Rfam family: Bacterial large subunit ribosomal RNA
Source: RNAcentral
GAGCCGGAGGGAAACCGAGUCUUAACCGGGCGUUAAGUUGCAGGGUAUAGACCCGAAACCCGGUGAUCUAGCCAUGGGCAGGUUGAAGGUUGGGUAACACUAACUGGAGGACCGAACCGACUAAUGUUGAAAAAUUAGCGGAUGACCUGUGGCUGGGGGUGAAAGGCCAAUCAAACCGGGAGAUAGCUGGUUCUCCCCGAAAGCUAUUUAGGUAGCGCCUCGUGAAUUCAUCUCCGGGGGUAGAGCACUGUUUCGGCUAGGGGGCCAUCCCGGCUUACCAACCCGAUGCAAACUGCGAAUACCGGAGAAUGUUAUCACGGGAGACACACGGCGGGUGCUAACGUCCGUCGUGAAGAGGGAAACAACCCAGACCGCCAGCUAAGGUCCCAAAGUCAUGGUUAAGUGGGAAACGAUGUGGGAAGGCCCAGACAGCCAGGAUGUUGGCUUAGAAGCAGCCAUCAUUUAAAGAAAGCGUAAUAGCUCACUGGUCGAGUCGGCCUGCGCGGAAGAUGUAACGGGGCUAAACCAUGCACCGAAGCUGCGGCAGCGACACUGUGUGUUGUUGGGUAGGGGAGCGUUCUGUAAGCCUGUGAAGGUGUGUCGUGAGGCAUGCUGGAGGUAUCAGAAGUGCGAAUGCUGACAUAAGUAACGAUAAAGCGGGUGAAAAGCCCGCUCGCCGGAAGACCAAGGGUUCCUGUCCAACGUUAAUCGGGGCAGGGUGAGUCGACCCCUAAGGCGAGGCCGAAAGGCGUAGUCGAUGGGAAACGGGUUAAUAUUCCCGUACUUGGUGUUACUGCGAAGGGGGGACGGAGAAGGCUAUGUUGGCCGGGCGACGGUUGUCCCGGUUUAAGCGUGUAGGUGUGUGUUCCAGGUAAAUCCGGUUCACUUUAACACUGAGGCGUGACGACGAGGCACUACGGUGCUGAAGCAACAAAUGCCCUGCUUCCAGGAAAAGCCUCUAAGCAUCAGGUAACAUCAAAUCGUACCCCAAACCGACACAGGUGGUCAGGUAGAGAAUACCAAGGCGCUUGAGAGAACUCGGGUGAAGGAACUAGGCAAAAUGGUGCCGUAACUUCGGGAGAAGGCACGCUGACACGUAGGUGAAGUGAUUUACUCAUGGAGCUGAAGUCAGUCGAAGAUACCAGCUGGCUGCAACUGUUUAUUAAAAACACAGCACUGUGCAAACACGAAAGUGGACGUAUACGGUGUGACGCCUGCCCGGUGCCGGAAGGUUAAUUGAUGGGGUCAGCGCAAGCGAAGCUCCUGAUCGAAGCCCCGGUAAACGGCGGCCGUAACUAUAACGGUCCUAAGGUAGCGAAAUUCCUUGUCGGGUAAGUUCCGACCUGCACGAAUGGCGUAAUGAUGGCCAGGCUGUCUCCACCCGAGACUCAGUGAAAUUGAACUCGCUGUGAAGAUGCAGUGUACCCGCGGCAAGACGGAAAGACCCCGUGAACCUUUACUAUAGCUUGACACUGAACAUUGAGCCUUGAUGUGUAGGAUAGGUGGGAGGCUUUGAAGUGUGGACGCCAGUCUGCAUGGAGCCGACCUUGAAAUACCACCCUUUAAUGUUUGAUGUUCUAACGUGGACCCGUUACCCGGGUUGCGGACAGUGUCUGGUGGGUAGUUUGACUGGGGCGGUCUCCUCCUAAAGAGUAACGGAGGAGCACGAAGGUUGGCUAAUCCUGGUCGGACAUCAGGAGGUUAGUGCAAUGGCAUAAGCCAGCUUGACUGCGAGCGUGACGGCGCGAGCAGGUGCGAAAGCAGGUCAUAGUGAUCCGGUGGUUCUGAAUGGAAGGGCCAUCGCUCAACGGAUAAAAGGUACUCCGGGGAUAACAGGCUGAUACCGCCCAAGAGUUCAUAUCGACGGCGGUGUUUGGCACCUCGAUGUCGGCUCAUCACAUCCUGGGGCUGAAGUAGGUCCCAAGGGUAUGGCUGUUCGCCAUUUAAAGUGGUACGCGAGCUGGGUUUAGAACGUCGUGAGACAGUUCGGUCCCUAUCUGCCGUGGGCGCUGGAGAACUGAGGGGGGCUGCUCCUAGUACGAGAGGACCGGAGUGGACGCAUCACUGGUGUUCGGGUUGUCAUGCCAAUGGCACUGCCCGGUAGCUAAAUGCGGAAGAGAUAAGUGCUGAAAGCAUCUAAGCACGAAACUUGCCCCGAG